Molecule: ribosomal RNA, 497 nt
Filed under: uncultured bacterium
Lineage: Bacteria
Description: partial 16S ribosomal RNA
Rfam family: Bacterial small subunit ribosomal RNA
Source: RNAcentral
GAUGAACGCUGGCGGCGUGCCUAAUACAUGCAAGUCGAGCGAACAGACGCGGCGCUUGCUCCUCUGUCGUUUGCGGCGGACGGGUGUGUAACACGUGGAUAACCUCCCUAUAAGUCUGGGAUCACUUCGGGACACCGGCUCUUAUACCGGAUAAUAUCUUGCACCGCAUUGUUCAAUAGUGAAAGACGGUUUUUCUGUCACUUCUCGAUGGUUCCGCGCCGCAUUAGCUUGUUGGUAAGGUAACGGCUUAUCAAGGCGACGAUGCGUGGCCGACAUGAGAGGGUGAGCGGCCACACUGGAAGUGAGACACGGUCCAGACUCCUACGGGAGGCAGCAGUAGGGAAUCGGCAGGCAGGAGCGAAAGACAGAGCGAGAAACGCCGAGGGAGGGAGGAAGGUCGUCGGAUCGGAAAACUCUGCUAUUAGGGAAGAACAAAUGUGUAAGUAACAAGGCACGUCUUGACGGUACAUGAGCAGAGAGGCACGGCUAAAUAAGUG